RNAcentral lists this ribosomal RNA (490 nucleotides) under uncultured bacterium. Its description in RNAcentral is "partial 16S ribosomal RNA". It matches the Rfam family "Bacterial small subunit ribosomal RNA", at positions 30 to 507 of the family's 1533-position model. The record is from RNAcentral.
AUUGAACGCUGGCGGCAGGCCUAACACAUGCAAGUCGAACGGUAACAGGAAGAAGCUUGCUUCUUUGCUGAUGAGUGGCGGACGGGUGAGUAAUGUCUGGGAAGCUGCCUGAUGGAGGGGGAUAACUACUGGAAACGGUAGCUAAUACCGCAUAACGUCGCAAGACCAAAAAGGGGGACCUUCGUGCCUCUUGCCAUCGGAUGUGCCCAGAUGGGAUUAGCUAGUAGGUGGGGUAACGGCUCACCUAGGCGACGAUCCCUAGCUGGUCUGAGAGGAUGACCAGCCACACUGGAACUGAGACACGGUCCAGACUCCUACGGGAGGCAGCAGUGGGGAAUAUUGCACAAUGGGCGCAAGCCUGAUGCAGCCAUGCCGCGUGUAUGAAGAAGGCCUUCGGGUUGUAAAGUACUUUCAGCGGGGAGGAAGGGAGUAAAGUUAAUACCUUUGCUCAUUGACGUUACCCGCAGAAGAAGCACCGGCUAACUCCGUG